UACAGAGGGUGCGAGCGUUGUCCGGAAUCACUGGGCGUAAAGGGUGAGUAGGUGGCUAGGUAAGCGUGUGGUGAAAGUCCGGGGCUCAACCCCGGAUCUGCCGUGCGAACUGCUUAGCUCGAGCAAUGUAGAGGCAGGUGGAAUUUCGGGUGUAGCGGUGGAAUGCGUAGAUAUCCGAAAGAACACCAGUGGCGAAGGCGGCCUGCUGGGCAUUUACUGACAC
RNAcentral lists this ribosomal RNA (223 nucleotides) under uncultured prokaryote. RNAcentral's name for it is "partial 16S ribosomal RNA". It matches the Rfam family "Bacterial small subunit ribosomal RNA", at positions 524 to 746 of the family's 1533-position model. The record is from RNAcentral.